This 1499-nucleotide ribosomal RNA is filed under the name metagenome. RNAcentral's name for it is "bacterial LSU rRNA". It matches the Rfam family "Bacterial large subunit ribosomal RNA", at positions 1284 to 2911 of the family's 2925-position model. The record is from RNAcentral.
AGAAGCGAGAAUGUUGACAUGAGUAGCGACAGAGCGGGUGAGAGACCCGCUCGCCGAAAGUCCAAGGGUUCCUGCUUAAAGCUAAUCUGAGCAGGGUGAGCCGACCCCUAAGGCGAGGCCGAAAGGCGUAGUCGAUGGGAACCAGGUUAAUAUUCCUGGGCCAGGAGGAAGUGACGGAUCGUAGCUGUUGUCUGGUCUUAUCGGAUUGAUCAGGCUUCGAAGCGGUCCCUGGAAAUAGCCCUCCAUGAGAUCGUACCCUAAACCGACACAGGUGGACUGGUAGAGCAUACCAAGGCGCUUGAGAGAACUACGUUGAGGGAACUCGGCAAAAUGCCUCCGUAACUUCGGGAGAAGGAGGCCCCGUUGGUGGGCAACCACUGGCGGGGGGCACAAACUAGGGGGUGGCGACUGUUUACUAAAAACACAGGACUCUGCGAAGCCCAAAGGCGACGUAUAGGGUCUGACGCCUGCCCGGUGCCGGAAGGUUAAAAGGAGGAGUGCAAGCUCUGAAUUGAAGCCCCGGUAAACGGCGGCCGUAACAAUAACGGUCCUAAGGUAGCGAAAUUCCUUGUCGGGUAAGUUCCGACCUGCACGAAUGGCGUAACGACUUCCCCGCUGUCUCCAACGUAGACUCAGCGAAAUUGAAUUCCCCGUGAAGAUGCGGGGUUCCCGCGGUCAGACGGAAAGACCCCGUGCACCUUUACUACAGCUUCACACUGGCAUCAGGUCAGGCAUGUGCAGGAUAGGUGGUAGGCUUUGAAGCGGGGACGCCAGUUCCCGGGGAACCUCCCUUGAGAUACCACCCUUGCCUUGCCUGAUGUCUAACCGCGGACCGUUAUCCGGUUCCGGGACCCUGUGUGGCGGGUAGUUUGACUGGGGCGGUCGCCUCCCAAAGAGUAACGGAGGCGCGCGAUGGUGGGCUCAGGUUGGUCGGAAAUCAACCGUCGAGUGCAAUGGCAUAAGCCCGCCUGACUGCGAGACUGACAAGUCGAGCAGAGACGAAAGUCGGCCAUAGUGAUCCGGUGGUCCCGCGUGGAAGGGCCAUCGCUCAACGGAUAAAAGGUACGCCGGGGAUAACAGGCUGAUACUGCCCAAGAGUCCAUAUCGACGGCAGUGUUUGGCACCUCGAUGUCGGCUCAUCACAUCCUGGGGCUGGAGAAGGUCCCAAGGGUACGGCUGUUCGCCGUUUAAAGUGGUACGUGAGCUGGGUUUAGAACGUCGUGAGACAGUUCGGUCCCUAUCUGCCGUGGGUGUCGGAGACUUGAGAGGAGUUGCCCCUAGUACGAGAGGACCGGGGUGAACGCACCACUGGUGGACCUGUUGUCGUGCCAACGGCAGUGCAGGGUAGCUAUGUGCGGACAGGAUAACCGCUGAAGGCAUCUAAGCGGGAAGCCCCCCUCAAAACCAGGUCUCCCUUGAGGGCCGUGGAAGACCACCACGUCGAUAGGCCGGAGGUAUAAGUGCAGCAAUGCAUUCAGCUGACCGGUACUAAUCGCCCU